RNAcentral lists this ribosomal RNA (494 nucleotides) under uncultured bacterium. Its description in RNAcentral is "partial 16S ribosomal RNA". It matches the Rfam family "Bacterial small subunit ribosomal RNA", at positions 28 to 507 of the family's 1533-position model. The record is from RNAcentral.
GACGAACGCUGGCGGCGCGCUUAACACAUGCAAGUCGAACGGAAAGGCCUGCUUUCCCUUGUGGAUUGCGGGUACUCGAGUGGCGAACGGGUGAGUAACACGUGAGUGAUCUUCCCCCAACUUGGGUAUAAGCCUGGGAAACUGGGUCUAAUUCCCGAUAGGACUGCAGGGUGGUGCCUGUGGUGGAAAACGAUUUUCUAGUGGUUGGGGAUGAGCUCGCGGCCUAUCAGCUUGUUGGUGGGGUAAUGGCCUACCAAGGCGGGGACGGGUAGCCGGCCUGGGAGGGUGGACGGGCACAUUGGGACUGAGAUACGGCCCCGACUCCUACGGGAGGCAGCAGUGGGGAGUAUUGCGCAAUGGGCGGAAGCCUGAUGCAGCGACGCCGCGUGGGGGAUGACGUGCUUCGGGUUGUAAACUCCUUUCGACCGCGAGGAAGCCACCUGGUUGGAAGGGUGGUGACGGUAGUGGUAGAAGAAGCACCGGCUAACUACGUG